AUUGAACGCUGGCGGAAGGAGGAAGAAAGGAAAGGAGAAAGGAAGAGGGGGCUUCGGGAGGGGGGGGAGGGGAGAACGGGUGAGUAAUAUAUCGGAACGGGGGAAGUAGUGGGGGAUAGCUCGGUGAAAGAGGGAUUAAUACAGCAUAAGAAAUGAGGGUGAAAGCGGGGGAUCUUUGGACCUCGCGCUAUUGGAGGGGCCGAUGGCAGAUUAGCGAGUUGGUGGGGUAAAGGCCUACCAAGGCGACGAUCUGUAGCUGGUCUGAGAGGACAACCAGCCACACUGAGACUGAGGCGCGACCCAGACUCCUACGGGAGGCAGCAGUGGGGAAUUUUGGACAAUGGGCGAAAGCCUGAUCCAGCAAUGCCGCGUGUGUGAUGAAGGCCUUCGGGUUCUAACUCCCUUUUCACUUAAACGAAAAGGACUGUGCCAAUACCACGGUUCGAUGACCGUACCCGCAGAAUAAGCACCAGCUCCCUACGUU
Molecule: ribosomal RNA, 484 nt
Filed under: uncultured bacterium
Lineage: Bacteria
Description: partial 16S ribosomal RNA
Rfam family: Bacterial small subunit ribosomal RNA
Source: RNAcentral